Molecule: ribosomal RNA, 399 nt
Filed under: Triticum aestivum (bread wheat)
Lineage: Eukaryota; Viridiplantae; Streptophyta; Magnoliopsida; Poales; Poaceae
Description: partial small subunit ribosomal RNA
Source: RNAcentral
AUGUUGGAAAAACCCCUCGCUGGGUGUAACUAUAAGUGGAUAUGAAAAGCAAAAAUUCCUCUUAAAAUCAAAAUCUUUUUAUGGUAGUUAUCCCAAGACGCAGUGCUCACAAGACAAGUGAUGAGGGAGAGAAAGUGGCCAGGGAAUCCUUGCUGUUCUUUCUGCAGGGAGGUAGAAACCUCUAACCACCUUUUCUUCACCUGCCCCGUUGCUAGGGUGGUUUGGAGAUCUAUUGGGGUGGUGCUAGGCACUGAUGUGUGCCCUAACAACUAUUGGCAGUAUUUCGUCUGGUGCAGUAAAUUUCUUCCUGGCAAAGAUACCUUCUAUACUGUGGGUUUAGUUGCUACUUGUUGGGCCAUCUGGCUGGCGCGUAAUCGUGCUACCUUUGAGAAAAAAUAG